AGCAAUGAAAAGAUGAAAGAUCAGUUACAGAGAAACAGGUGGUGCAAAUGUUACAUUUGUAUUUUUUUGGUUUCAUUCUUUUGUUGUACUAAUGCCUCAUUGCCUUUUUUUUUUCCUUCUAUGAUGUGUCUCUGGAACCAGCAAAAAUUCCCUCUUUGGACUUGCUCCACUUGAAGCAGUGCUAUUUAAUAUUGAUAGAACUCCAUAUGAUUUAG
Molecule: long non-coding RNA, 215 nt
Filed under: Prunus dulcis (almond)
Lineage: Eukaryota; Viridiplantae; Streptophyta; Magnoliopsida; Rosales; Rosaceae
Description: sRNA ncRNA
Source: RNAcentral